RNAcentral lists this ribosomal RNA (253 nucleotides) under uncultured prokaryote. Its description in RNAcentral is "partial 16S ribosomal RNA". It matches the Rfam family "Bacterial small subunit ribosomal RNA", at positions 524 to 776 of the family's 1533-position model. The record is from RNAcentral.
UACAGAGGGGGCAAGCGUUGUUCGGAAUUACUGGGCUUAAAGGGUGCGUAGGCGGUGUAGCAAGUCGGGAGUGAAAUCCCGCAGCUCAACUGCGGAAUUGCUUUCGGUACUGCUGCGCUUGAGUGAGAUAGAGGUAAGCGGAACUUAGGGUGGAGCGGUGAAAUGCGUUGAUAUCCUAAGGAACACCGGUGGCGAAGGCGGCUUACUGGGUCUCUACUGCCGCUGAUGCACGAAAGCCAGGGUAGCGAACGGG